AUCUUGUAAUGUAUUUAUGGUUGUGGUAUUAUGGGUCUGGGUAAUACCGUAUUAAAAGGGAAUCCGGUGAUAAAUCCGGAACUAUCCCCGUAGCUGUGAAUCCCCCUAAAAUUACCCCUGAAAUCGGUAUCGCCACUGUUGCGAACAACGUAACGGGAAGGCUUCAGCGGGUUGGGACAGUCAGAAGACCUGCCAUAAAUAUUGAGUGAUA
RNAcentral lists this non-coding RNA (211 nucleotides) under Sediminibacterium ginsengisoli. Lineage: Bacteria; Pseudomonadati; Bacteroidota; Chitinophagia; Chitinophagales; Chitinophagaceae. The record is from RNAcentral.